UUAAGCGACUAAGCGUACACGGUGGAUGCCCUGGCAGUCAGAGGCGAUGAAGGACGUGCUAAUCUGCGAUAAGCGUCGGUGAGGUGAUAUGAACCGUUAUAACCGGCGAUUUCCGAAUGGGGAAACCCAGUGUGUUUCGACACACUAUCAUUAACUGAAUCCAUAGGUUAAUGAGGCGAACCGGGGGAACUGAAACAUCUAAGUACCCCGAGGAAAAGAAAUCAACCGAGAUUCCCCCAGUAGCGGCGAGCGAACGGGGAGGAGCCCAGAGCCUGAAUCAGUGUGUGUGUUAGUGGAAGCGUCUGGAAAGGCGUGCGAUACAGGGUGACAGCCCCGUACACAAAAAUGCACAUAUUGUGAGCUCGAUGAGUAGGGCGGGACACGUGGUAUCCUGUCUGAAUAUGGGGGGACCAUCCUCCAAGGCUAAAUACUCCUGACUGACCGAUAGUGAACCAGUACCGUGAGGGAAAGGCGAAAAGAACCCCGGCGAGGGGAGUGAAAAAGAACCUGAAACCGUGUACGUACAAGCAGUGGGAGCCUCUUAAUGGGGUGACUGCGUACCUUUUGUAUAAUGGGUCAGCGACUUAUAUUCUGUAGCAAGGUUAACCGAAUAGGGGAGCCGAAGGGAAACCGAGUCUUAACUGGGCGUUAAGUUGCAGGGUAUAGACCCGAAACCCGGUGAUCUAGCCAUGGGCAGGUUGAAGGUUGGGUAACACUAACUGGAGGACCGAACCGACUAAUGUUGAAAAAUUAGCGGAUGACUUGUGGCUGGGGGUGAAAGGCCAAUCAAACCGGGAGAUAGCUGGUUCUCCCCGAAAGCUAUUUAGGUAGCGCCUCGUGAAUUCAUCUCCGGGGGUAGAGCACUGUUUCGGCAAGGGGGUCAUCCCGACUUACCAACCCGAUGCAAACUGCGAAUACCGGAGAAUGUUAUCACGGGAGACACACGGCGGGUGCUAACGUCCGUCGUGAAGAGGGAAACAACCCAGACCGCCAGCUAAGGUCCCAAAGUCAUGGUUAAGUGGGAAACGAUGUGGGAAGGCCCAGACAGCCAGGAUGUUGGCUUAGAAGCAGCCAUCAUUUAAAGAAAGCGUAAUAGCUCACUGGUCGAGUCGGCCUGCGCGGAAGAUGUAACGGGGCUAAACCAUGCACCGAAGCUGCGGCAGCGACACUAUGUGUUGUUGGGUAGGGGAGCGUUCUGUAAGCCUGUGAAGGUGGCCUGUGAGGGUUGCUGGAGGUAUCAGAAGUGCGAAUGCUGACAUAAGUAACGAUAAAGCGGGUGAAAAGCCCGCUCGCCGGAAGACCAAGGGUUCCUGUCCAACGUUAAUCGGGGCAGGGUGAGUCGACCCCUAAGGCGAGGCCGAAAGGCGUAGUCGAUGGGAAACAGGUUAAUAUUCCUGUACUUGGUGUUACUGCGAAGGGGGACGGAGAAGGCUAUGUUGGCCGGGCGACGGUUGUCCCGGUUUAAGCGUGUAGGCUGGUUUUCCAGGCAAAUCCGGAAAACCAAGGCUGAGGCGUGAUGACGAGGCACUACGGUGCUGAAGCGACAAAUGCCCUGCUUCCAGGAAAAGCCUCUAAGCAUCAGGUAACAUCAAAUCGUACCCCAAACCGACACAGGUGGUCAGGUAGAGAAUACCAAGGCGCUUGAGAGAACUCGGGUGAAGGAACUAGGCAAAAUGGUGCCGUAACUUCGGGAGAAGGCACGCUGAUAUGUAGGUGAAGCGACUUGCUCGUGGAGCUGAAAUCAGUCGAAGAUACCAGCUGGCUGCAACUGUUUAUUAAAAACACAGCACUGUGCAAACACGAAAGUGGACGUAUACGGUGUGACGCCUGCCCGGUGCCGGAAGGUUAAUUGAUGGGGUUAGCGGUAACGCGAAGCUCUUGAUCGAAGCCCCGGUAAACGGCGGCCGUAACUAUAACGGUCCUAAGGUAGCGAAAUUCCUUGUCGGGUAAGUUCCGACCUGCACGAAUGGCGUAAUGAUGGCCAGGCUGUCUCCACCCGAGACUCAGUGAAAUUGAACUCGCUGUGAAGAUGCAGUGUACCCGCGGCAAGACGGAAAGACCCCGUGAACCUUUACUAUAGCUUGACACUGAACAUUGAGCCUUGAUGUGUAGGAUAGGUGGGAGGCUUUGAAGUGUGGACGCCAGUCUGCAUGGAGCCGACCUUGAAAUACCACCCUUUAAUGUUUGAUGUUCUAACGUUGGCCCGUAAUCCGGGUUGCGGACAGUGUCUGGUGGGUAGUUUGACUGGGGCGGUCUCCUCCUAAAGAGUAACGGAGGAGCACGAAGGUUGGCUAAUCCUGGUCGGACAUCAGGAGGUUAGUGCAAUGGCAUAAGCCAGCUUGACUGCGAGCGUGACGGCGCGAGCAGGUGCGAAAGCAGGUCAUAGUGAUCCGGUGGUUCUGAAUGGAAGGGCCAUCGCUCAACGGAUAAAAGGUACUCCGGGGAUAACAGGCUGAUACCGCCCAAGAGUUCAUAUCGACGGCGGUGUUUGGCACCUCGAUGUCGGCUCAUCACAUCCUGGGGCUGAAGUAGGUCCCAAGGGUAUGGCUGUUCGCCAUUUAAAGUGGUACGCGAGCUGGGUUUAGAACGUCGUGAGACAGUUCGGUCCCUAUCUGCCGUGGGCGCUGGAGAACUGAGGGGGGCUGCUCCUAGUACGAGAGGACCGGAGUGGACGCAUCACUGGUGUUCGGGUUGUCAUGCCAAUGGCACUGCCCGGUAGCUAAAUGCGGAAGAGAUAAGUGCUGAAAGCAUCUAAGCACGAAACUUGCCCCGAGAUGAGUUCUCCCUGACUCCUUGAGAGUCCUGAAGGAACGUUGAAGACGACGACGUUGAUAGGCCGGGUGUGUAAGCGCAGCGAUGCGUUGAGCUAACCGGUACUAAUGAACCGUGAGGCUUAACCUU
Molecule: ribosomal RNA, 2901 nt
Filed under: Escherichia coli
Lineage: Bacteria; Pseudomonadati; Pseudomonadota; Gammaproteobacteria; Enterobacterales; Enterobacteriaceae
Description: 23S ribosomal RNA
Rfam family: Bacterial large subunit ribosomal RNA
Source: RNAcentral